This 326-nucleotide ribosomal RNA is filed under the name uncultured bacterium. RNAcentral describes it as "bacterial SSU rRNA". It matches the Rfam family "Bacterial small subunit ribosomal RNA", at positions 505 to 830 of the family's 1533-position model. The record is from RNAcentral.
GUGUCAGCCGCCGCGGUAAUACGUAGGGUGCAAGCGUUAUCCGGAUUUAUUGGGCGUAAAGAGCUCGUAGGCGGUUCGUCGCGUCUGGUGUGAAAGUCCAUCGCUUAACGGUGGAUCGGCGUCGGGUACGGGCGGACUGGAGUGCGGUAGGGGAGACUGGAAUUCCCGGUGUAACGGUGGAAUGUGUAGAUAUCGGGAAGAACACCGAUGGCGAAGGCAGGUCUCUGGGCCGUCACUGACGCUGAGGAGCGAAAGCGUGGGGAGCGAACAGGAUUAGAUACCCUGGUAGUCCACGCCGUAAACGGUGGAUGCUGGAUGUGGGGCCC